This 250-nucleotide ribosomal RNA is filed under the name uncultured bacterium. RNAcentral's name for it is "partial 16S ribosomal RNA". It matches the Rfam family "Bacterial small subunit ribosomal RNA", at positions 524 to 773 of the family's 1533-position model. The record is from RNAcentral.
AACGUAGGUGGCGAGCGUUAUCCGGAUUCAUUGGGCGUAAAGAGCUUGUAGGUGGCUUCGUAAGUUGGACGUGAAAUCUCCGGGCUUAACUUGGAGAGGCCGUUCAAUACUGCGGGGCUUGAGGAUGUCAGAGGGAAGUGGAAUUCCUGGUGUAGCAGUGAAAUGCGUAGAUAUCAGGAGGAACACCCGUGGCGAAGGCGGCUUCCUGGGGCAUUCCUGACACUGAGAAGCGAAAGCUAGGGGAGCAAAC